UACGAGGGGGGCAAGCGUUGUUCGGAAUUACUGGGCGUAAAGGGCGCGUAGGCGGCCUUCUAAGUCGAACGUGAAAUCCCCGGGCUCAACCCGGGAACUGCGUCCGAGACUGGAAGGCUCGAAUCCGGGAGAGGGAUGUGGAAUUCCAGGUGUAGCGGUGAAGUGCGUAGAUAUCUGGAGGAACAUCGGUGGCGAAGGCGGCAUCCUGGACCGGUAUUGACGCUGAGGCGCGAAAGCCAGGGGAGCAAACGGG
RNAcentral lists this ribosomal RNA (253 nucleotides) under uncultured bacterium. RNAcentral describes it as "partial 16S ribosomal RNA". It matches the Rfam family "Bacterial small subunit ribosomal RNA", at positions 524 to 776 of the family's 1533-position model. The record is from RNAcentral.